RNAcentral lists this long non-coding RNA (280 nucleotides) under Crocodylus porosus (Australian saltwater crocodile). RNAcentral's name for it is "lncRNA (ENSCPRG00005012386.1)". The record is from RNAcentral. Lineage: Eukaryota; Metazoa; Chordata; Crocodylia; Crocodylidae.
AAGAUCACUCCUGUUCUGUCUCCUUCUACUUGCUGAAGAGCUUUUCCUGGAAUCUCAGACCCACAGAUAAGGCAAUCAUCCUCAGCUGUGAAGGAUUACUGAUGAUAAUUUACUUAAAGCCAGAUGCAAGAAUGAAUAUAAUGGGUUCAAAUUUCUCUUAUACAAAAGCUUAAUGAAAAGACCUUCAAAUGGACAUGGCUAAUUACACAGUUCUGAGAAGAGUACAAGCAUUGCUCCAGUAGGCAAGUAUGCAGAAUAAUCUUUCUGUAGCUGCACCUCC